Molecule: ribosomal RNA, 239 nt
Filed under: uncultured bacterium
Lineage: Bacteria
Description: partial 16S ribosomal RNA
Rfam family: Bacterial small subunit ribosomal RNA
Source: RNAcentral
GAUCAUGGCUCAGGAUGAACGCUAGCGACAGGCCUAACACAUGCAAGUCGAGGGGCAGCACGUUAAAGAGUUUACUCUUUAUGGUGGCGACCGGCGGACGGGUGCGUAACGCGUAUGCAACCUGCCUGACACAGGGGGGAUAAUCCGAAGAAAUUUGGUCUAAUACCCCAUAAUACCGAUAUAGGCAUCUAUGUUGGUUGAAAGCUUUGGUGGUGUCAGAUGGGCAUGCGUUGUAUUAG